AACGGAUAAAAGGUACUCCGGGGAUAACAGGCUGAUACCGCCCAAGAGUUCAUAUCGACGGCGGUGUUUGGCACCUCGAUGUCGGCUCAUCACAUCCUGGGGCUGAAGUAGGUCCCAAGGGUAUGGCUGUUCGCCAUUUAAAGUGGUACGCGAGCUGGGUUUAGAACGUCGUGAGACAGUUCGGUCCCUAUCUGCCGUGGGCGCUGGAGAACUGAGGGGGGCUGCUCCUAGUACGAGAGGACCGGAGUGGACGCAUCACUGGUGUUCGGGUUGUCAUGCCAAUGGCACUGCCCGGUAGCUAAAUGCGGAAGAGAUAAGUGCUGAAAGCAUCUAAGCACGAAACUUGCCCCGAGAUGAGUUCUCCCUGACCCUUUAAGGGUCCUGAAGGAACGUUGAAGACGACGACGUUGAUAGGCCGGGUGUGUAAGCGCAGCGAUGCGUUGAGCUAACCGGUACUAAUGAACCGUGAGGCUUAACCUUACAACGCCGAAG
This 492-nucleotide ribosomal RNA is filed under the name Shigella flexneri. RNAcentral's name for it is "partial 23S ribosomal RNA". It matches the Rfam family "Bacterial large subunit ribosomal RNA", at positions 2451 to 2925 of the family's 2925-position model. The record is from RNAcentral. Lineage: Bacteria; Pseudomonadati; Pseudomonadota; Gammaproteobacteria; Enterobacterales; Enterobacteriaceae.